This 388-nucleotide ribosomal RNA is filed under the name Phaeocystis sp. RNAcentral describes it as "partial small subunit ribosomal RNA". It matches the Rfam family "Eukaryotic small subunit ribosomal RNA", at positions 582 to 975 of the family's 1831-position model. The record is from RNAcentral. Lineage: Eukaryota; Haptophyta; Phaeocystales; Phaeocystaceae.
AUUCCAGCUCCAAUAGCGUAUAUUAAAGUUGUUGCAGUUAAAAAGCUCGUAGUCGGAUUUCGGGUCGGCCGAGCGGUCUGCCGAUGGGUAUGCACUGUUUGGCGCGGCCUUCUUUCCGGAGACCGCGGCUACUCUUAACUGAGCGGGCGUGGGAGACGGAUCGUUUACUUUGAAAAAAUCAGAGUGUUUCUAGCAGGCAGCUCGCUCUUGCAUAGGUUAGCAUGGGAUAAUUUAAUAGGACUCUGGUGCUAUUUUGUUGGUUUCGAACACCGGGGUAAUGAUUAAAAGGGGCAGUCAGGGGCACUCGUAUUCCGUCGAGAGAGGUGAAAUUCUCAGACCAAUGGAAGACGAACCACUGCGAAAGCAUUUGCCAGGGAUGUUUUCAUUA